CCGAGUUAGGGUCCUCGUGGCCCGAACCUCCCACCCUUUGUUGUCGAACAAACCAUUGUUGCUUUGGCGGGACCGCCCCGUCUUCGGACGGGCUGCCGGGUCCAACGACCGGGUAAGCGCCCGCCAGAGACCAACCAAACUCUUCGUUUUAACCAAUCGUCUGAGUAAAAUGAUUAAAUCAAUCA
RNAcentral lists this unclassified non-coding RNA (185 nucleotides) under uncultured fungus. RNAcentral describes it as "sequence contains ITS1, 5.8S rRNA gene". Lineage: Eukaryota; Fungi. The record is from RNAcentral.